AUGAGAAGAAAGUUUUGUUGUUAAGAAUAACACUGUUCUCGGCGUCUAUGGUUUGCUGCCUAUGGAAGAACUUUUAUCUCUUGAGAAGAACAAAAACCUUCAGAUGAGGAGUCCAAACAGGGCACAACCGCACAUUCAUACAAACCGUAUGUGAGUAUAUGGACAACUCUAUUUGAUCUGCAUGGUAAGGUGUUCUUUUUUUCAAAGCAUUCAGUACAAUGAUGACUGUUGCUGCAAAGUAGGCCUAUUGGUAGUCUAGAAUUUUCAAUCCUGUUUCCAACAACAGUACACAGGGAGAUAUUGAAAGGAACAACCUGAACCUAUUGUUCUAUCCCUUUGUAUAUAAGCUUAUUCUGUCUCCAAAACAUAACUUGCCUUCUGAAUAAUGUUUAUUGAAAUAUAUCUCUAUUGGAGGUACAAUUCAGACACUGAUUUAUAUUAUUGUUCUUUUCAAGAAGUAUUUAUAUUAUUGUAAGUUGUGGUUGUUGUUAAAUCUCAUGAUUUCAUAUUGUUUACGUUGUCAUGGAGCACUUUUGUGUUCAGGUGAAUAUAGCAGAUUAAGGCGUGAGGACAGUAACUGGAAUAGGACUUCAAUUGUUCACAGAAAUGCCUGCAAGCAGCACGCCCUUUUCCUCGGGUGUAUCUGACGCAGCUUCUGUUGCUCUCAUCGAAGACGACUAGGCAAACUGCAGCCUCCCAGAUGAAGCAAUUCCUGUGCCCAGUGCGGCAAUGGCCUCAAGGUCGCCGUCGAUGUGAGGCGCCACCAGCUUGGAGAGCCUGCAGAAGAGAGUCCAUGGUGGAGAUGUGACACAUUCCGAGGCAGCAUCAGCCUUGUCAAUGCCUGAAGCUACUGCUCUGGAACCAGCUUUGUAGUGCUGCCAAUAUAUGGCUUACUAAGGUUUUUGGUAAUGGUCUAAUGGAGUUUGUGGCAUCAGGAUGCAUAGUUUACCUUCAGUUCUGUCAUGCCCUUUUUUGUAUUAUCUAAUCACUAAUAUGACAUGGCACUAAUAAUCAACAAGUUAUAUACAGGAGGCGCGCCAUUGGCGCGCCCCAUCAUCUAGUUUGAUGAGAAGAUGGAGACAAGGAGAGCAAUUGAGAAUGCAAACAUCCCUCACACAUAUGUUUCUGCAAAUUGCUUUGCAGCUAAAUUCAGUCCUAACCUCUGUCAGAUGAAAACUCACCUCCCUCCCAAAGAGAGUUGGUGUGUACGGGGAUGGUAACGUCAAAGUGUUUUUUGUGUAUGAAGAUGAUGUGGGAACAUAUACAAUCAAAUCAAUCGAUGAUCCCCGCACCUUGAACAAGACAAUAUACAUAAGACCACAAGAUAACUGCCUCACUUAGAACGAGUUGAUCGCGAUGUGGGAAAAACUCUCUGGAAAAAGUCUUACCAAAUUCCAUAUACAGGGUGAUGAAUUUUUGGCUUCAAUGAAAGAUACGAAUUUUGCUCAUCAAGUGGGAGUAACACAUUUCUACCACAUUUUCUACGAAGGUUGCUUAACAAACUUCGACAUUGGUGACUAUGGAGCCGAAGCAACUCUGCUCUACCCAGAUGUUCAGUACACCCGCAUUAAUGAAUUCCUAAAACGCUAUCUGUAACGGAGUAUACAAAAAUUUUAUAAAUAUUUAUGUUGGUUUACGGUUUGGCAGCUUGCUUCGCUAAGUCAAAUUCUCUCUAGGUAUGAGAAUUCAAUAACACCAUGCUUGUUUGAAUAUAUGGUAUUUGUACUGUUCACAACCCAGCUCGAAUAUACUCUGUUUUACUAAUUACUAUCAAGUUGAUCAGGUACGUGGAAAGUUCAAAUGAGUUAA
This is a non-coding RNA of Oryza sativa Japonica Group (Japanese rice), 1809 nucleotides long. The record is from RefSeq and is a predicted model, not a curated record. Lineage: Eukaryota; Viridiplantae; Streptophyta; Magnoliopsida; Poales; Poaceae.